GAUGAACGCUGGCGGCGUGCCUAAUACAUGCAAGUCGAGCGAACGGACGAGAAGCUUGCUUCUCUGAUGUUAGCGGCGGACGGGUGAGUAACACGUGGAUAACCUACCUAUAAGACUGGGAUAACUUCGGGAAACCGUAGCUAAUACCGGAUAAUAUUUUGAACCGCAUGGUUCAAAAGUGAAAGACGGUCUUGCUGUCACUUAUAGAUGGAUCCGCGCUGCAUUAGCUAGUUGGUAAGGUAUCGGCUUACCAAGGCAACGAUGCAUAGCCGACCUGAGAGGGUGAUCGGCCACACUGGAACUGAGACACGGUCCAGACUCCUACGGGAGGCAGCAGUAGGGAAUCUUCCGCAAUGGGCGAAAGCCUGACGGAGCAACGCCGCGUGAGUGAUGAAGGUCUUCGGAUCGUAAAACUCUGUUAUUAGGGAAGAACAUAUGUGUAAGUAACUGUGCACAUCUUGACGGUACCUAAUCAGAAAGCCACGGCUAACUACGUG
This 497-nucleotide ribosomal RNA is filed under the name uncultured bacterium. Its description in RNAcentral is "partial 16S ribosomal RNA". It matches the Rfam family "Bacterial small subunit ribosomal RNA", at positions 28 to 507 of the family's 1533-position model. The record is from RNAcentral.